Molecule: ribosomal RNA, 484 nt
Filed under: uncultured bacterium
Lineage: Bacteria
Description: partial 16S ribosomal RNA
Rfam family: Bacterial small subunit ribosomal RNA
Source: RNAcentral
AUUGAACGCUGGCGGCAUGCUUUACACAUGCAAGUCGAACGGCAGCGCGGGCUUCGGCCUGGCUGCGAGUGGCGAACGGGUGAGUAAUGCAUCGGAACGUGCCCAGUAGUUGGUUAUAGCCCGGCGAAAGCCGGAUUAAUACCGCAUACGACCUGAGGGUGAAAGCGGGGGACCGAAAGGCCUUGCGCUAUUGGAGCGUCCGAUGUCGGAUUAGCUAGUUGGUGGGGUAAAGGCGUACCAAGGCGACGAUCCGUAGCUGGUCUGAGAGGACGACCAGCCACACUGGGACUGAGACACGGCCCAGACUCCUACGGGAGGCAGCAGUGGGGAAUAUUGGACAAUGGGGGCAACCCUGAUCCAGCCAUGCCGCGUGCGGGAAGAAGGCCUUCGGGUUGUAAACCGCUUUUGUUCGGGAAGAAAUCCUCUGGGCUAAUACCCCGGGGGGAUGACGGUACCGGAAGAAUAAGCACCGGCUAACUACGUG